GUGGCAACAACACCGCCGGUCACCAAAUUAACACCCUUUAACCCCCUUGACCCCCUAAACACAAAUCCACAAACCAUCUGGCUCGAAUCAGACCACAUCGUCUCGAAUCUUCGUUUGAAGAUUCGAGCCAAACCUGAAACCACCCCAACCAAGACCAAUUCGUACCAAUUACUCCCCUAACAUCCCUCAUAACCAAACCAAGCUUGGUUUGGUUCAAAUCCAACCAGAAAACUUCGAGCCCCAAAUCGAAAAUAUGAACCCUAGAAAUCAAAUAGAUGGGGGUCUAUCCAAAUUAACAAAGGGUUGGGGUCUAAUAGACUUUAAUCGAGGGAUUCUCAAUUGAGAACACCUCGAUUAAAGUCCUUUUGACCUCAAAAGGUCAAGUCCGGUUCGAGACAGGGGUGUGUUGUUCUUGAGCAUCAAAUAUAAGUUCUUUCUUUUCCUUCUGUUUUCAUAUGUGUUUUAUUGUGUUUGCAUGUUAGUUAUUUCAUGUGAUUUUAGUUACUUUUCUUUAGUUCUGUUCAUCUUCCUGAGAUCUUUAUUUGGUCGUUUCUGUUCACAUUACUGGUUAUUUGUUUGUUAUUAUUAAGUUGUGAUUUGUUUUCAAUUUUUUUUGUUCAAAGUUUUCGUGUUUGCUCUGUAUUUUGUUUCCUUUUUUUUUGUCUGCCUUAUUUGAAUCAGUCAGUACUUCAUAUAUUAGAUAAUUCAAAUUGCUCUUGUUUAGUUUUUAUUUAGAAAUUUAAUUUGUUUCAAAUAGGGAGAGUAUGCAUCUGUGUCAAGUCAGCUAUGAUUUCAGUAGCUCACUGCAGUUUUAUUCCAACUAUUUUUCUCUUCUGAUGACAUUUGGUUGAUAGGAAAUUAAUUUCAUAGCUUUAGUAAUCAAAGUGGUAGGUUGGUUAUAGUUGUUGUUAUUCUAAAUUUAGAUACAGUUCUUUAUGUUUCUAUGUUUAAUUAAGCAUUUUUUGGGUUAAUCAGUGAUUAGUUUACUUAUUAGAUAAAUUGGCCAUUAAUUGGUUUCUGAUAUUGCUGGUAUUCAUUUAUCUAAAAUCAGAAACAAUGGGAUUCUAGGGUAAGUCAGUAGGUUCAGUAGAUUUAGGAGGGUAUUUUGGGGUUUUAAGAUACUUGAAAUGUUUAGUGGUAGUUGGUCUGCCAGAGUUGUAUUUAACUAAACAUUAAAUUAAUGAAUUGUUUAAUAAUAGUAGUGGGAUAUGAAUUGGAAUAGCAUGGGGAAUAUUUGAAUACUAUAAUGUGCCCAUAACUAAUGCAUUAAACAAAUGAAACUAAGCACUUUAGUAAUAAAAGAAGGGGCUGUCGGGUAAUAACAUGAAUUUUUUAGAAUUAAAAAAACUGAAAAGGGAAUUCAACUGACCAUGCCUAGCGCCCGUAUGGCUGGAAAAUCAGAAGCAUUAAGGGGUUAAUGAUAAAAAGGUAGAGAUACACAUGAGAAGGGAAUAAACUGGCUAAAAGAUAAGGGCAGGGCAGUAAUAACAAUAACAUUUUAAGGGUAUUUUGGGAAUGAAAAGUGGGCAGAAUGACUAAGUUAAUGGCCUGUUAGUGAAGCCUUAAUAUGUGCGUUGAAUUAAGAAGGAAAUUAAGGGAAAGCGCCUUUGAGUAAGUUUUUCAAAAUGGGUAGGUAGAGUUUUGUUAUUUUGAGGGGUCGGGUGGUUAAGUUUUUAAGAGGGUAGGUUUAGGAGUUACUACAAAUACAUAUAAUUAAGGAGUAAUUAAGGAGUGAAAAAUUUUGAAGGAAAAAUUGAGAGCUUAAGACUGAAUCUUUGAAUCAGAAGUUGAAAGCUGAGAGUAUAGGCUAAUUCUUGAGUGAAAGCUUCAGUGAGAUAAUCAAGUUUAAGGCUGAUCUUUAUUUAAAACUUGAGCUUGCUUGCUUUUCUUGAAGAGUAUUCAAAAACAUAAAUAUUACCUUCCUUACAUCUGUUUCACUUCUACUGUGACUGUGAGGGCAUUCUCAAGUGUUACUGGAUUUCCAAUGUGAUGUUUUUGGUUUUCGAUCAUUAAUUGGUUUCUGAUAUUGCUGGUAUUCAUUUCGGUGUUGUUGAGCUUUUCUAUUGGUAUUCAAGUGUUAUUUCAUCUAUUAUUGGAUUCCUUCUGUUUGAUUCUUCGUCUGCUACUGGGUUUCUGCUAUUGCCACUGGUUCAUUAUUGUUUGAUGCUGAAACCUCUGUUGCUUGAACCUAUUAUUGUACUGUGUUUGUUACUAUUGUUCAUUACUAAUCCUUCCUCCUUUCCUUUGCUUUUCCAAUUACCAGUAUACAAUUACUAUGCUGGUCCACAAUGCAAGCUGAAACAUUUGAAGCAUGAAUAAAAUGCAUCUUUAAGGCUUGCAGACAUUAGUUGUAUCUGUAUUCUAAGUCUAUAUGUAUGUGUUAGUUAUUAGCUCAUGAGAAUCAUGUGAUUAGCUGCAAUGUAUCAAUAGGUGCCGAUCUGUAAUAAUUUAAGUUUGCAAACUCAUGCAUGUUAAUUAGAAAAGAACCGAUAAUGUAGUAUGCAUAUUCUGUAAUUUCUAGUUUUGUUUCAUUCACAUCCUAUUUAAAAAAACAUAUAAAGAUUAAACAGAUUAAGUAGUCAGUUACUCAUACUUU
Molecule: long non-coding RNA, 2596 nt
Filed under: Nicotiana benthamiana
Lineage: Eukaryota; Viridiplantae; Streptophyta; Magnoliopsida; Solanales; Solanaceae
Description: long non-coding RNA (NBEN_LNC006707)
Source: RNAcentral